AUACCAUGAUGCGGACAUAUAACCAAUAUCCCUUUGAAACGUUCCCAUGUUUCAUGUAGUGUCUCCAUUGGUCUCUGUUUAAAACUUAAAAUUUCAUCAAUUUGUUG
RNAcentral lists this small nucleolar RNA (107 nucleotides) under Nicotiana sylvestris (wood tobacco). Its description in RNAcentral is "Plant small nucleolar RNA R71". It matches the Rfam family "Plant small nucleolar RNA R71". Rfam says of the family: R71 is a member of the C/D box family of snoRNAs containing the C (UGAUGA) and D (CUGA) box motifs. Multiple nearly identical copies of this snoRNA have been identified in Arabidopsis, and it is thought to function as a 2'-O-ribose methylation guide for 18S ribosomal RNA. Lineage: Eukaryota; Viridiplantae; Streptophyta; Magnoliopsida; Solanales; Solanaceae. The record is from Rfam by way of RNAcentral.